CUUAAAGACAGUGCUGGGAAUGAAACCUUGAUCUUACAGCUGGUACAGUAAAGCUAUGUGCUAUCCAUGAGGGGAGAAACACCCAGUGGUCAUGAUCCAUGUUGGUACCAAGAGCACCUGAAGAUCUAUGAAAGAAGUUCUGCUGCAGGAGUGUGAGCAGCCAGAGUCCCAGUUAUAAAGCAGAACCACUGAGCUAAUGAUCUCCAGAUCACAACCUGAGCCAAUUUAAACUGGCAUUAGGUCAAGAAGGUGCAGCUCAAAGAUUAGUGUAGAAGUGGAUGUGAAUUCUUGGGACACUGCCAUCAGGGAGAGGAGAAACUGUUUUGUUGAGCUGGGCUCUGGCAAGCCUGGUGAAUGCAAUAAUUAGAGCUACAGAAAGGACUUCAAACAAAAUAAUUUUGGGGCAAGGUUCAGGCAGAGUGGAAAUAUAGAAAGUUGAAGAAAAAGGUCAAGGUGCAGGUGUUGCUCAGAAUGGAGGCUAGUGACUAGUGGCGUGCUGCAGGGAUUGUCAUGACCCCUGCUUUUUGUUAUUUAUACCAAUGAUUUGGAUGCAAAGACACAACUUUGAUCGGAAAAUAAAGAAAUACACCAGAAUUUAUGAAAAACACUACACAAAGGCUGACAAAUAAAAGUAAUUCCAGUAAAAUGGCAGUACGCUUGGACGCAGUGGACUCUCUGCAGUCAACCAAAGCACUCAGGCUUCAAGACACAAGAAAUGGCCAAGAGUGAAAACAAUUUCACUAUUUGAAUGAGUUAGGACCUACAAAGAAUGUGAAGGUAUCAACAAUCAUCUUGAAUGUUACAAAGAAAAUGAAGAGUUGGAGGAUGCAAUCAUCAAAAGGAUUGUAUGAUGGCAGUCCAUUAUCUACAAUACAUGUCUGCACUGAUUUUGUUCAUUUACAAUCUAUCAAAAGAACACAGCAGCGUAUACUUGAUUAAUUCCUCCACUGAUAACUAUUAGGAACUAACAGACAGCUUUAUAAUACUGUAGUGUUCUAAUUUAUUCUGUAUUCUAUUUAAAUGCAUAAUCUGUUACUCAGUUAAAUGGUAGUUUGUCUUUUUUUAUACCUUUUUAGCUACUUCUAUAAAACUUACACUAAUUGGGGUAGCCGUUUAAUUCAGUCAUAAAUGUACUGGUCCUGAUGUGUCCCAAUUAACUGGAAUUCACUCUACUUUGAUUUGUGAAGGCCAUUGUGCCAAAUGUUUUUUAUGAUUCUAUCUCUCAGUGACUUCAAUUUUCAGGAAUUAAAGAUCUGUAUUCCCAGAUCCCUCUGUUCUGCCACACUCCUCAAUACUGUUCACUGUGUAAGUCUUACCCUGGUUUGUCCUCCCAAGUGCAGCACCUCACACUUAACUACAUUAGAUUCCAUCUGCCAUUUUUCAGCCCAUUUUUCCAGCUGGUCCAGAUCUCUAUGCAAGCUUUGACAGCUUUCCUAUUAGAGCUAAUCUUGGUGUCAUCUACAGUACAGGUCAUCACAUAAUCCACAGUCUAGGGCCUAUUUUGAGACUAGUGGACACUGAUGCAGCUGAGCUGAAUCCAAGACAAGAAGAAUGAUAUUUUAAAUGAUGUUUUUUUGUUGAUGUUUUAUUAAAUUUAUUUUGAUUCAAAAAUCAAACAAGUGGUGAGCACUCGGUGACAAUGUCUGGCACUUGAUUGUUCUGCUGCCAUAGCCCAGGUCAAUUAUAUUGUCCGAUCCAGGUACUUGGAUGUUCCAACGUGCUCGUCCUUGGGCUGUCUACUAGUGAUAAGGAAAGGAUAGGAAAGUGGUAUCCAUUGAAGUCAAGGCUCAGAUUUAGUUUUUUUUUAGGUUCGUAGUGAUGGUUUUGGGACAGAGAGAGUAGCUAGGGGUCAGGUUUGUGUUUAGGGAUAGGGAUGUGGGGGGAUUUGAGGUCAGGCCGGAAAAUAAGCCUUUUUGAUAUACAACUGAUAAAUAAAUCUGAAUCUUAAAUCUUAAAAUAUGUGAACUGCUCAAGCAAGCGUGAGCACUGAAAGCCAGGGGAAGAUUUGGCAAACACUGCAUAAACUGAAUGGGAUGAAGAAUUUACAGCAUCCAGUUACAUACCUCCCACAGAGGCUGAGCAGACAAGGAUCCCCAGUGUUUAACAGAACUGUACAAUAUAACCAGUCCUAUGGUGGUUUUAUCAUCGUGAAAUACCUCAAGGCACUUCACUUGAGUCCAUACAUAACACCAUGUAAGUAACACUUUUAAAAGCCUUCCUAUCUCAUUCUAACACAUUCGGAAAUGUAUGCAUGUACACUGACAGCACUAUUACUUUCCUGCACUUCAAAAAUUCUACAACAUAAACUAUCUUUUUCAAUUGUUCUAAUAGAGCAAUGCAUUUUGAGAAGUCAAUUAGUUAGACAUAUACAGUGAAUGACAGGGCACUGAUGAAUGUUAGAACACAGAGACUUGGGAUCUAAGGGUAUAGUUUCCAGAACACAGAUGGAUAGGGUAGUGACAAUGCCAGGAUUUUCUUUUUUUUAUAAGAUAAAUGAAAGCUCUCAUAGAGCCAACCUUGAUGGGGCACUAUCAGUACAGAUGCCAACGCAGUUCCUCCAAGACCAACCUUUUGUUUCCAGAAAUGAAGACAAAACUAAAUAUAUCUUGGCCUUUGCUUGUUUCCAGCAGCUCUUUGCAACAGAAAAAGUAUUCUUGAAUUUCACCAUCAUUUACAAAUGCUACAACUUGACAUUUAUUGGUGAAAUCUGUUGACUCAUCAACCUGGAUAGAGAAGUUGUAGUUUUUCAGUUUAUCACACAAAACCUCUUCAGCAUCAUGUGACAUGUCAUCAAUGCGUCGACUUCUCGUGCUGUUUGAGAGUGAAACUUUUUCAAUUUUGCAUACUGCAUCUUGUCUUAACGCAGGGUUAAUAAAAUAUAAAAAAAGAACAGCAUAACAAAUAACUAAACAAGAAAAUGGCAAAAAAUACGAAAACCACAAUGCAAUUAAUUUCUAACCUACACAAUCCACUUUUUGUAACAUUUAGAACAGCAAAGCCCCAGGCCAGCAGUUGAGUUGUGGCGCAUAAAAAUUUCUUUCCAAGAAUGAAAAUUUCCUUCCAAUUUUCUACUACACCAGUAGAGUUUGUUCGCUCCCAUAAGUCAGUUGGUAGCACAUAAGGGAAAGUUUGGGGAGGUAAUUCAGGAGGAAGAAGCUGAUGUCACAACCCAAGUUAGGCAAGUCCAUUUGAUUCUCAGAAAAUGCUCUCCACUCUCCUCAUCAGCCUUCUGUCCUUCCCUCUGUACAAUACAGCACUCACUAUUUAUCAGCCUACUGUCCUCUCCUCCAUGCAAUACAGUGCUCACCAAUUAUCAGCCUACCGUUCUCCCUCUAUGCAAUACAGCACUCACCAAUUAUCAGUCAUUUCGUGGAGAUGAAAUGAAAAAAGUUCUGGAUUAUGCUACAAGAAUGGUUAACUUUAAUAAACAAAGACCAGUUCACUCGAGAAUGUUUAAAAAACUGUGACCUGGACAACACCCAUCUCCUGCUACAUAUAGAAAUCUGGUAGUUUAGCAGAGGAAAAGUUCUCAAAAUAGUGUUUGAGAUGAAAGGUGAAUUGCAGGAGUACUUUCAAGAAAAUAGUAGGCCAGAUUUUGCCGAGUGCUUUGAAGAUGAAGAAUGGUUGCAGAAACUAGCCUAUUUAGCAUACAUUUUUCAUCAUAUGAACCAGUUGAACAAAUCUCUGCAAGGUCUUGAAGAAAAUGUUUCGACUUCAAGUGACAAGAUUCUUGGAUUUAAAAGGAAACUGAACAUAAGGCUUCUGUAUCUUCUUCCUGAAGGCUGCAGCAAGAAGAGAGCAUGUAUGCCUGGAUGAUGGUGGUUCUUGAUGAUGGAUGCUGCUUUCCUGUAGAUAUGCUCAAUGAUGGGGAGGGUUUUACCCGUGAUGCACUGGGCUGCAUCCACUACUCCUUGUAGGCUUUUCCAUUCAAGGGCAUCGGUGUUUCCAUACCAGGCUGUGAUGCAACCAGUCAGUAUAUGCUCCACUGUGCAUCUACAGACAUUUGUCAAAAUUUUAGAUGGCAUGGCUUAUCUCUGCAAGCUUCCAAGGAAGUAGAGAAGCUGCUGUGCUUUAUUUGUAAUGCCAGCUACAUGCUAGACUCAGGAUAGAUCCUCUGAAAUGAAAACACCAAGAAAUUUAAAGAAUUUAAAAUUGCUGACCAUCUCCACCUUUGAUUUCCUGAUGGGGCUGGCUUAUGGACCUCCAGUUUCCUCCUCCUGUAGUUGAUAAUCAGCUCUUUGGUUUUGUUAAUAUUGAGUGAGAUGUUGGCACCAUUCAGACAGACUUUCUAUCUUCCUCCUACAUGCUGAUUUGUCACCACCUUUGAUUCAGCCCACAACAGUGGUGUCACCAGUAAACAUGAAUAUAGCUUUGGAAAUGUGCUGAGUCUUCACAGUCAUUAGUAUACAGUGAGUAGAGCAGGGGGCUAAGCACACAGCCUUGUGGUGCAUCUGUGCAGAUGGUGAUAGUGCAUGUUCACAAAGUGCAGACCUGCCAAUUUCUACCUUGGUGAACACAGAUGUGAACUUCCCAGUGUUCACCAUUACUCUCUGCCUUGGCCAAUUUAAGAUAAAGAUUAGCUUUAUUUGUCACAUGUAUGUCAGAACAUAGUGAAGUGAACUGUUUACAUCAAUGACCAACAUAGUCCGAGAAUAUGCUGAGGGCAGCCCACAAAUGUCGCCAUACUUCCGGCGCCAAAACAGCAUGCCCUCAGUUUACUAACCCUAAUCCUAAUCAAUUUACUAACUCUAAUCUGAAUGUGGGAGUAAACCAGAGCACCCGGAGGAAACUCACAGAGAGAAUGUACAAAUGCCUUACAGACAGCAAUAGGAAUUGUACCCUGAUCUUACUGCUGGUGCACUGUAAUGUACUGUGCUAACUGCUACACUUACAUGUGGGCAUGAAUAUUAACAAAGACAUGUAUAAGUAAUGUUACUGAAACUGCCUUCCAAUAGUUCAUAAGCCCCACAUUAACUUUCAUACUGUCGUCAAGGCUCUGAGAUCUGACUGAACUAUUUAAAUACGUUUGCCAGACACCGUUUGCAUCAAACCUCUGCCAGCUAUCAUCUGAAGGAAAAUUACCAACAAUUGCAAAUUAUUACCAGAUGCACACAGAUAAAAGUGAUCCCUUUAAAAAAAGUAAUCAGAUAAUUGUGAUGGAGGAUUCAGCCACUCUUUGAAAGUAUGGAGAGAUAGUGGUCGAUCCUCAUAUCAAGGUAUUGCUCAACCACCAGGAAACUGGCUUAAGUCAAGGAAACCUGCCUGGUCAGGUUGGCUUCAUCUUUCAUCAAGCUGUCUGGAUGCUUCGUCUGUGAGGGGUCUGGCCUGCAGCAACUGUGUCUAACAAGAGUUGAGGACGAUGACCAGUGAUCCCCAUGUUCAAUGAUUGAGGUUGACAGGCCCUGUGGAUGAGGGCCGGUGAACCUUCAGUUUGGUGAGUCCCCCCCAAGUUGUAGGUAGGGGGCACAAAGCUUGUGACCCCCGGGCUGGCAUGUCCUGGGGUUGACACCAAAGGUCAAAGUCUGAAGUUGGCAAAUCUGGAAAUUGAGGUCCUUGGUCAAAGUCCUUGGGUCAGCAUGUCCAGAAGUGAGAGGCCUGAUACCUACGAGUCUGGGCCAGGGACUAGAGUUUGGAGGCCUAGGGGCAGCCUGUCCUAGGGUUAGAGGUUAUCUUUUUGUCUGAGGGGGUGGGAAAGGAGUUUGUUUUGCUGUUGUUGCUUGUUUUGUUGUUUUUGCUUGUGUUGUUCUGCUGAACCUUGUGGGCAUGCAAUGUUGGCACCACAGUGUGUUGCAACACUUGUGAGCUGUCCUCAGCUUAGCUUGAGUUUGUGUUGAUUGUUAAUGCAGAUUACACUUUUCACUAUAUGUUUCCAUGGACAUGUGACAAAUAAAUCUGAAUCUGAGUUUGGUCAAAAAUAUGAUCUUGAGUGGGGCUCUGCUUGGACAUCCUCUUCUUUCUUUUGGAUGAGGUACCUUGGAUGUUGAACUUUCAAACACUGUUGCUACUUCGCUGCUCAGUGAAUGGAUUGUACUUGCCCUGGCUGGGCAAACAGGAGUGGUGGGGUACACUAAGUUGACCUAUUCUCACGGACACUCUAGGUCACCCAUGUUUUGAAACCUCUACAUCAUGGAGGCACUGAAGCAACCAGCUACCAGAUCAAGGAGAGACUAUCUGAGAUAUUAAUUGCGGGGAAGUGGGAGCAGUGAGCAAAUGGAUGUGGAAUUAGAAUAGCUCAGUUCUAUAAUUGUUCAGAGAGAGAGGAGGCAGUGGAAUUAACCAGGCAGGCAUUCAAAGUGUGUGGGGAGAGGAGGAAGAAGGUGAUCAGAUUGGGUGUGACAUUAAGCCAUAUAGAAUAUGAAAUGAUUGGGGUUUAAGACCAUAAGACAUAUAGGAGAAGAAUAAGGCCGUUUAGCUCAAUGAGUCAUUUGCCAUUCCAUCAUUGGUGAUUUAUUAUCUAUCUCAACCCCAUUCUUCUGCCUUCUUCCCAUAACCUUUAGCACCCUUACUAAUCAAAAACCUAUCAACCUCCACUUUAAAUAUACCCAAAUGACUUGCAAUGAAUUCCACAGAUUCACCACCCUCUAGCUAAAGAAAUUCCUUCUUAUCUCAGUCCUAAAAGGACAUCUUUCUAUUCUGAGGCUGUGUCUUCUGAUCCUAGACUCUCCCAGUAUUGGAAUUAUCCACUUUACAUCCACUUUAUCCGGCUUUUCAAUAUGCAGUGGAUUUCAAUAGGAUUUCCACCUUAUUCUCUUAAACUCCAGCAAGUACAGACUCAGAGCCAUCAAAUGCUUCACAUAUGUUAACCUUUUAAUUCCCAGGAUCAUUCUCGUGAAACUCCUCCAGACCCUCUCUAAUGCCAACACAUCCUUUCUUAGAUUUGGAAUUUGAGGGGAGAGUGGGAUACUAUAGGGUUCUGGAAGUAAGGGAAGCAGAGGAGAAUGUGGCUUUUCAUGUUGUGAGGUACACUGGUAAAUAGCAAAUUUUUGUUUAAUUUCAUGUAUCAAAUUACA
Hypanus sabinus (Atlantic stingray) is the source of this 7010-nucleotide RNA transcript. It is a transcript of the gene named general transcription factor II-I repeat domain-containing protein 2-like, with no coding region annotated. The transcript is spliced from 3 exons. The record is from RefSeq and is a predicted model, not a curated record. Lineage: Eukaryota; Metazoa; Chordata; Chondrichthyes; Myliobatiformes; Dasyatidae.